RNAcentral lists this ribosomal RNA (204 nucleotides) under uncultured bacterium. RNAcentral describes it as "partial 16S ribosomal RNA". It matches the Rfam family "Bacterial small subunit ribosomal RNA", at positions 1297 to 1500 of the family's 1533-position model. The record is from RNAcentral.
AUUGUAGGCUGAAACUCGCCUGUAUGAAGUCGGAAUUGCUAGUAAUCGCGGAUCAGCAUGCCGCGGUGAAUACGUUCCCGGGCCUUGUACACACCGCCCGUCACACCAUGAGAGUCGAUAACACCCGAAGCCUGUAGUCUAACAGCAAUGAGGACGCAGUCGAAGGUGGGAUUGAUAAUUAGGGUGAAGUCGUAACAAGGUACC